GAUGAACGCUAGCGGCAGGCUUAACACAUGCAAGUCGAGGGGCAGCAUAAUGGAUAGCAAUAUCUAUGGUGGCGACCGGCGCACGGGUGCGUAACGCGUAUGCAACCUACCUUUAACAGGGGGAUAACACUGAGAAAUUGGUACUAAUACCCCAUAAUAUCAUAGAAGGCAUCUUUUAUGGUUGAAAAUUCCGAUGGUUAGAGAUGGGCAUGCGUUGUAUUAGCUAGUUGGUGGGGUAACGGCUCACCAAGGCGACGAUACAUAGGGGACUGAGAGGUUAACCCCCACACUGGUACUGAGACACGGACCAGACUCCUACGGGAGGCAGCAGUGAGGAAUAAUUGGUCAAUGGACGCAAGUCUGAACCAGCC
Molecule: ribosomal RNA, 371 nt
Filed under: uncultured bacterium
Lineage: Bacteria
Description: bacterial SSU rRNA
Rfam family: Bacterial small subunit ribosomal RNA
Source: RNAcentral